GCUAGCGUUGCUCGGAAUCACUGGGCGUAAAGCGCACGUAGGCGGAUUGUUAAGUCAGGGGUGAAAUCCUGGAGCUCAACUCCAGAACUGCCUUUGAUACUGGCGAUCUCGAGUCCGGGAGAGGUGAGUGGAACUGCGAGUGUAGAGGUGAAAUUCGUAGAUAUUCGCAAGAACACCAGUGGCGAAGGCGGCUCACUGGCCCGAUACUGACGCUGAGGCACGAAAGCGUGGGGAGCAAACAGG
This 243-nucleotide ribosomal RNA is filed under the name uncultured bacterium. RNAcentral describes it as "partial 16S ribosomal RNA". It matches the Rfam family "Bacterial small subunit ribosomal RNA", at positions 534 to 776 of the family's 1533-position model. The record is from RNAcentral.